CCUACGGGUGGCAGCAGUGGGGAAUAUUGGACAAUGGGGGCAACCCUGAUCCAGCCAUGCCGCGUGUGUGAAGAAGGCCCUCGGGUUGUAAAGCACUUUCAGUGAGGAAGAACGCCUGGUGGUUAAUACCCAUCAGGAAAGACUUCACUCACAGAAGAAGCACCGGCUAACUCCGUGCCAGCAGCCGCGGUAAUACGGAGGGUGCGAGCGUUAAUCGGAAUUACUGGGCGUAAAGCGCGCGUAGGUGGCUUGAUAAGCCGGUUGUGAAAGCCCCGGGCUCAACCUGGGAACGGCAUCCGGAACUGUCAAGCUAGAGUGCAGGAGAGGAAGGUAGAAUUCCCGGUGUAGCGGUGAAAUGCGUAGAGAUCGGGAGGAAUACCAGUGGCGAAGGCGGCCUUCUGGACUGACACUGACACUGAGGUGCGAAAGCGUGGGUAGCAAACAGGAUUAGAUACCCGGGUAGUC
This 465-nucleotide ribosomal RNA is filed under the name Vreelandella stevensii. RNAcentral describes it as "partial 16S ribosomal RNA". It matches the Rfam family "Bacterial small subunit ribosomal RNA", at positions 338 to 795 of the family's 1533-position model. The record is from RNAcentral. Lineage: Bacteria; Pseudomonadati; Pseudomonadota; Gammaproteobacteria; Oceanospirillales; Halomonadaceae.